RNAcentral lists this ribosomal RNA (253 nucleotides) under uncultured bacterium. Its description in RNAcentral is "partial 16S ribosomal RNA". It matches the Rfam family "Bacterial small subunit ribosomal RNA", at positions 524 to 776 of the family's 1533-position model. The record is from RNAcentral.
UACGGGGGGUGCGAGCGUUGUCCGGAAUCACUGGGCGUAAAGGGCGCGUAGGUGGUUUGAUAAGGGUGUGGUGAAAGUCCGGGGCUCAACCCCGGAUCUGCCGUGCCGACUGUCAAACUCGAGGGCUGUAGAGGCAGACGGAAUUCCGGGCGUAGCGGUGGAAUGCGUAGAGAUCCGGAGGAAGACCGGUGGCGAAGGCGGUCUGCUGGGCAGUUUCUGACACUGAGGCGCGACAGCGUGGGGAGCAAACAGG